GUUGCUCCGCUGCUGGAUGCGCGGUCGGUCUCUGGGACUGUGACCUUGGGGGGGUUGUUUUCUUUGGUUGUUGUUGCUUGUUUUGAUUCUGGCCCUCCGUCCUGGUUCCCCCCCGCCGCCCGCCCUGGGUUGGUUGUGCUGUUUUUUUUGUUUUGGUUUUGGGGUCGUCGGGAGCCGACCCUUAGAGGGGGGGUACUGUCAGGGUCCUGGGACUGGGCGACCCAGGAUCCCUGAGCAGUCAUGUAUUAUAUUAUUAUUAUUAUUAUUGUUGUGUAUUUUGGUGUUGCUCCCCCUUCCCUGUGCUUGUGUAUAUGUGUGUGUGGGUGGCUGAGCACUUGUUUAUAGGCGGCGUCAGGCCUGGAGGGUGUGGCCCAGCAAGGGGACUGGCCACACCCGAAGCCACACACCUGCUGCUGAUCAGGCCUCGUCGGGGAAGCUACUUAAGAGAGUCUUGGAGCUCCCACCGACGCGGGAUCAUUGCUUGGGACUCCACGAGGAGCGUGGAAGGCUUAAGGAGCAGCGAGCACCGGGAGUGCAGACACGGGAGCAGAGAGCACUUGGAGGACACGACACGGGAGUCUGGGGAAAAACACGGGGAUUUAUUGUUGUUUGAUAUCACCCUCUGUAAAUAAACGCACUGC
This is a long non-coding RNA of Astatotilapia calliptera (eastern happy), 641 nucleotides long. NCBI's taxonomy places the organism in Eukaryota, Metazoa, Chordata, Actinopteri, Cichliformes, Cichlidae. The record is from Ensembl.